CACACACACACACACACACACGGUGAGCCACGAUGGACACCAGGCUGUCCUUACUCAUGAUGUUUCUAAAGUCAUUAUUGCCCGCGCCCGGAGCCUCCCUCAGCCCAGGCCUGGACCCACGCUGCCCCGCCCAUACUACCAUCUCGGAGGAUGAUGAAUGGGCGAACAUUGGCACACUGCAAAAUCUGAAGCUCGGCUGGGGCAUGGACUUGUUCGUGCACCCCGACCCAGGCUUCAAGGGGGUUAGGCUCGUGGCGGCGGGCGAUGGCUGGCAGCAGGACGCCUGGUUCACGCUGGACAACACUUGCUUCCCUCUGGACGCACGGUGGUGGAGGUUGUGGGGAGGUGUAUGGGGAAGCAGGAACGAUGACAACAACAAUGAUGGCUUUCUUGGGUUUGUUGUACGGACUGGUGACUGUUAUCUUAGGUGCCGCAGAACAGGCCACUUCCUUAAUGCCAUGAAUGUUACUGUUGUGGCUCACGGGCCCUCAAGGUGGAUAUUAAAGUACCCGCGGCAAUGCACUGUAGAAGAAUACAAACAAGACAGAUACUCAUGGAUAAACUGCACCUCCCACCCCACCACCACCACCCCUACAACCACCACCACCACCACCACCACCCCUACCACCACCACCACCACCACCAUCGCCAUCAUAGUCGUGCCCGUGAUGAUUGGUGUUGCUGUUGUUGUUGUUCUGCUAGUGGUGCUGACGAAGUGUUACUGGCAGCGAAGGGUAAAUCCAGAUGUGAGGAUGCGAUUCCAAAGCGUCCCGGCGUCCGCCAGCGAGAGCGUGGUGGUCGAGAACAGCCUGUACAAGACCUUGGACAACACCCGCGGGACCGAGGUGGUCGAGAACAGCCUGUACGAGACCUUGGACAACACCCGCGGGACCGAGGUGGUCGAGAACAGCCUGUACGAGACCUUGGACAACACCCGCGGGACCGAGGUGGUCGAGAACAGCCUGUACGAGCCCUUUGAAAACGUGAGGAAGCCGCGGUAAGGGAGAAGGAAAUGGAAGAGGGAGAUGAGCAGCAAGCGUGAAAACAUGGCAGCAAAAGCCUGUCGGUUCAUCACGAAGCUGAUUCUCUUUUUUUUUUUUCUACGUUGAGGCCUAUUGCGCCGGCAGGCUUCUUCCCGGUGGAUUCUGAUGGUCGGUCCAAGGCUUCUUCCCGGUGGGUCCUGAUGGUCGGCCCAGCCCGUUCUGGCGCAGGCGAGUGUUUAUAUUGGCGCCAUCUUGCAUUGGCUCAUGCUGCCCUCCCGGAGCUCAUCUUUAAUCCUAGAAUCUAGAGUCCGGGUUGAUAGGUGGUCUUCUGGACAGCAUGUGGGUAGUUUUAAGCCACUCGGCGGCGGCUGAAAAAUCCCAGCUUGGUGGCACCGGGCGGGGAUUGACCUCGCGUCCUCCUGAACGCGGGGCCGUCUUGCUAUCCAUUCAGCCACUGCCUACCUUUAGCGACAGUGUUAAUCAGUUCGUCACCACUUGAGUGACCUGCGGGUAUGGGGUGGGCGUGGCGACGCACCCCCGGUUUAUGUCCCCAUUGAUUGGCUGAUUGGCGCAUCGUUUGAAGAAAGGGGAGGAGGACGAAAAAGAAGAAGAAGAAGAAGAAGAAGAAGAAGAAGAAGAAGAAGAAGAAGAAGAAGAAGAAGAGGAGGAGGAGGAGGAGGAGGAGGAGGAGGAGGAGGAGGAGGAGGGUGAGAUUUAUAACGCGGUUGCCUGCCUUAUUACUGGUUCAAAAUGUUAGGCGGGGACUUGAGGGGACACGGAAAAGUUUAUCACGUUUGAACGCGGCCAUGGGGACGUUGAGGCGCUGACGUGUGCUGAGAAUGAUGACGAGAAGAAGAAGAAGAAGAAGAAGAAGACGACAACAACGACGACGACGACGACGACGACGACGACGACGACGAAGAAGAAGAAGAAGAAGAAGAAGAAGAAGAAGAAGAAGAAGAAGAAGAAGAAGAAAAGCCUAAGUAGCAACACUGCUGUGUGUUCAGUCUUGUCAGACAAGUGUGGUCAGUACACUCAGUGGGUUCAAAAUCCAUAACGGGCGUAUUAAACAACGGAAGAUGAGGGUUUGGCCGGCAUUAUAACAGCCAAUGAUAUAGUUCAUGAAAUGGCCUGUACUACACAGGGUUGGGUCCGAAUACAUGGACUUGGACUUGGCCUUAGUACAUAGCAAAGUGACUGUACUUGUACUUGAAAAAUAUCCAGGUACUUGGACUUGGACUUAAGUCUUAAGUAUUAAAACUUAAGUCGCCAGUACUUGGACCCAACCCCUGGUAUUACACAUGUAUUAUAUAUGAAUAUUCUUUGAUGUCAAUAUAUGAAUAUGAUGCCGUAUGACAGGAAUGUGACUAUGUGGUACGAUAAUGUAUGUGGUAUGAUUAAGUAACUAAGAAUAUAAUAUUAAUAUGAUGUGAUUCCUUAUAUAUAUAAUAUGAGUAAGAAAUGAAUAUGACUAGCCACCCUAUGACUGGGAUGUGAUAGGCUGUUAUCAAUAUGAAUGUGAUGUGAUUAUAUAAGAACAUAAGAACAUAAGAACGUAGGAGUCUGCAAGAGACCGGUAAGCCUGUACAAGGCAGCUCCUCUGAACCUAAGCUCCCGUGUAUCUAACCCCACCUAUUAUCGCUGUCCGUGAAUUUAUCUAAUCUAUUUUUGAAUGUGACAAUUCUAUUGGCACUCACCACAUGACUGCUAAGCCUAUUCCACUCAUUCACCACUCUGUUAGUAAACCAAUUUUUGCCUAUGUCCCUGUUGAAUCUGAAUUUAUCCAGUUUAAACCCAUUACUUCGUGUCCUACCUGGUUCUCAUACCAACAAAACCUUAUGAAUAUCCCCCUUAUUAAAGCCCUUCAUCCAUUUAUAAACCUCGAUCAUGUCUCCACGCACCCUUCGCCUUUCUAGAGAGAGCAAGUUUAACUGUUUGAAUCUUUCCUCGUAUGGCAAGUUUCUCAACCCCUGAAUCAUCUUAGUCAUCUUCCUCCUCACCGAUUCUAACAUUUUGAUG
Eriocheir sinensis (Chinese mitten crab) is the source of this 3002-nucleotide RNA transcript. RefSeq lists it as uncharacterized. The record is from RefSeq and is a predicted model, not a curated record. The transcript is spliced from 5 exons. NCBI's taxonomy places the organism in Eukaryota, Metazoa, Arthropoda, Malacostraca, Decapoda, Varunidae.